This 464-nucleotide ribosomal RNA is filed under the name uncultured bacterium. RNAcentral's name for it is "bacterial SSU rRNA". It matches the Rfam family "Bacterial small subunit ribosomal RNA", at positions 917 to 1382 of the family's 1533-position model. The record is from RNAcentral.
GGGCCCGCACAAGCAGCGGAGCAUGUGGUUUAAUUCGAAGCAACGCGAAGAACCUUACCAGGUCUUGACAUCCAGUAAAAGCAUCUGAGAGGAUGUGUGCCUUCGGGCAUACUGAGACAGGUGGUGCAUGGUUGUCGUCAGCUCGUGUCGUGAGAUGUUGGGUUAAGUCCCGCAACGAGCGCAACCCUUGUGAAUAGUUACUAACGGGAAAGCCGAGGACUCUAUUCAGACUGCCGGGGACAACUCGGAGGAAGGUGGGGAUGACGUCAAAUCAUCAUGCCCCUUAUGACCUGGGCUACACACGUGCUACAAUGGGCGCAACAAAGAGGAGCGAGGCCGCAAGGCGGAGCAGAUCUCAAAAAAGCGUCCUCAGUUCAGAUUGUGGGCUGCAACCCGCCCACAUGAAGUCGGAGUUGCUAGUAAUCGCGGAUCAGCAUGCCGCGGUGAAUGCGUUCCCGGGCCUU